AUGCUCUCUGUGUCUCUAGUGCUGCUCUUGGCAGCCACAUCCUAUGUAAUGGGUCAGACACUGACUGAGUCUGAAGCAGUGACCAUUAAACCUGGUGGAUCUCAUAAACUGACCUGUACAGCUUCUGGGUUUAACUUUGGUAGCUAUAGCAUGCACUGGGUCAGACAGGCUCCUGGAAAAGGACUGGAAUGGGUGUCAUAUAUCAACUCUGGCAGUAGUAGUAAAUAUUACUCCAGUGCUGUUGAGGGGAGAUUCACCAUCUCCAGAGACAACAGUAAGAAUCAGCUCUAUCUACAGAUGAACAGUCUGAAGACUGAAGACACAGCUGUGUAUUACUGUGUGUUUGUGGCCUCAUCUGAGUCAGUGGUGAAGAAUCCUGGACAGUCUGUGACUCUGUCCUGUGCUGUGUCUGGAUUCUCUAUGAGCAGCUACUACAUGCACUGGAUCCGUCAGAAACCAGGGAAAGGACUGGAGUGGAUUGGAGCUAUUGACAGUGGGACUGGCACAGUCUUUGCCCAGUCUCUCCAGGGUCAGUUCUCCAUCACCAAAGGCACCAGCAAAAACAAACUGCAUUUAGAGGUGAAAAGCCUGAAAACUGAAGACGCAGCUGCUUAUUACUAUGCCAGAGACUCAGUGCUGAACAAAAAAAUAAGACAAUAA
Chanos chanos (milkfish) is the source of this 660-nucleotide non-coding RNA. The record is from the annotation of a RefSeq genome assembly. NCBI's taxonomy places the organism in Eukaryota, Metazoa, Chordata, Actinopteri, Gonorynchiformes, Chanidae.